This 76-nucleotide transfer RNA is filed under the name Flavobacteriales bacterium. Its description in RNAcentral is "tRNA-His". It matches the Rfam family "tRNA". Rfam says of the family: Transfer RNA (tRNA) molecules are approximately 80 nucleotides in length. The record is from RNAcentral. Lineage: Bacteria; Pseudomonadati; Bacteroidota; Flavobacteriia; Flavobacteriales.
GGUGGGGAUAGCUCAGUUGGUUAGAGCACUGGUUUGUGGUACCAGGGGGCGUGGGUUCAAAUCCCAUUAUCCACCC